ACGUAGGUGGCAAGCGUUAUCCGGAAUUAUUGGGCGUAAAGAGGGAGCAGGCGGCAAUAGAGGUCUGUGGUGAAAGACUGAAGCUCAACUUCAGUGAGCCAUGGAAACCAGAUAGCUAGAGGACAGCAGAGGAACGCGGAAUUCCAUGUGUAGCGGUGAAAUGCGCAGAUAUAUGGAGGAACACCAGUGGCGAAGGCGGCGUUCUGGGCUGUAGCUGACGCUCAGUCCCGAAAGCGUGGGGAGCAAAUAGG
This 251-nucleotide ribosomal RNA is filed under the name uncultured bacterium. RNAcentral's name for it is "partial 16S ribosomal RNA". It matches the Rfam family "Bacterial small subunit ribosomal RNA", at positions 525 to 776 of the family's 1533-position model. The record is from RNAcentral.